AUCAGAACAAAGUAAAGGUAGAA
Molecule: small nuclear RNA, 23 nt
Filed under: Arabidopsis thaliana (thale cress)
Lineage: Eukaryota; Viridiplantae; Streptophyta; Magnoliopsida; Brassicales; Brassicaceae
Description: snRNA_07181
Source: RNAcentral